RNAcentral lists this long non-coding RNA (784 nucleotides) under Carica papaya (papaya). Its description in RNAcentral is "long non-coding RNA (CPAP_LNC015901)". Lineage: Eukaryota; Viridiplantae; Streptophyta; Magnoliopsida; Brassicales; Caricaceae. The record is from RNAcentral.
UAUAAUUAAAUAAACUUUAUCUGUAUGUUCAAUCUCAUAAUGAUAAAUUUACAUUCCACUAAUAAAAUCAAAUCAUAAAAACACAUCAACAGAUAAAUAGGAUAUGAAGAUGAUUACUAAUUAUAAUUGUAUUUUAAUUCCAAUUUUAUCUUCCUUCCAUUACAUUCCGACUUAUAUUCCUUAAAAUUUAAGUUUGAAGACACCUUAACCUUUGUUUACUAGAUGAAAUGGCAUGCUCAUUCUUCACAUCCCAUCAACAUAUAUAUAUUUCACCAACUUUCUACGUCUCUCACAGAACAAAUAUCAAACACCUUGUGAGCAUCCCCAAACUUCUCCGUCCACAAAAAGCAAGCAAAUGAAUCAGGUAGUUUCUAGCAGACAAAUUUCAGUCACCAGGCUUUCAAAGCCAGGGAGUAGAACUUCCAUACUCCGCUCAAUUCACCUCAAAUCCAAGCAAAAUUCGUUCCAAAACAUGGUUCCGUUAUAAAAUCUCAAUCCAGCAAAAGCGUCAUUCGAGUUUAAACAGCAGCAAGAGAAAGAACACUCAAUGAAGUUAAACUUAAGCUUGUUUAUACCAGGCUUGCAAGGAGAGAGACUGCUAAAUGAGAUGAAGACAACAAGUCGAACGCGUACGCGGCGGAAUUCUCCAUGCUGAUCCGGGAUUUCAGCUUACCUGCUCUUUCUUUUUCCUUUUUUUUUUCUUCAUCUCCUUUGACUUUUCUGAAUACAGACAAGUAGAAAAAUGAUGAACUUGGAAUUUUCAAUAUUAUAAUUUAAAUUUUUU